GGGGUGGAUAUACUUCUACCCCACUACAAGUAUAGUCCCCUUCAGCAAUCCCAGCAGAAGCCCAAGGUAAAAAAGAGAAUAUAUAAAAAAGAUUUGUGGGUAUAACUUUUGUUAAUGGCAUGAAUCUCACUAAUAGUAAAAAGAAACACUGACAGCUUAAACUGAAAGGUACAGAGGCAGUACAAAAUGAAAAGAGACCCUUUGGGCCCUCAAAAUUCUACUGGCAAGAAGCAGGCUAAGAAAACUAUGAAGCUGCAAAUCUGGACUACUUUUUAUGGAAAAGAAUGACUCAUACGGUGGAAUCAAGAGCCACGGAGGAAACAAGAGCUGCAGAGAAGCAUUCCUGGGUAGAAGUAGAACUAAGUCCUAAUCAAGGAACGUCCAACAUUUAUCCAGACAAACAUUAAAAUUGCUACAAAUCAGUGACUUCUUUGUGCCUUUCAUCUUCUCCCUUUUUAAACAGAAAUCUCUAUACCUGUUUAUUAUACGCCUGUCCCAUCACUAUAUGUUGGGUAUAUGAGGGGUAGAAAACUUGCCUCCUUGGUUUAUAGAUCUGCACACCAAAAGGAAUUAUGUCUGAGGAACUACACCCAAAGAGCCUCAUCCACACUUGGACGUAAGUAAAUGACAAUAACCUGGAUUUCAAGUUGAUGCUGUACAGGAACAAGACUUUUGGUGGGUCUUGGGAGGAGGUGAAUGUAUUUUGCAUAUGAGAGAAAUGUAAGUAAUUUCUGGCCAAAGGUUAAACUGUGGUAGUUUUCAAAUAUGUCUACAAAUUCUUUAAUACUCCUCCCCUUUAAGAGGCAGAGCUUAAUUCUCCUCCCCUUGAAUGUGGACUGGACUUAGCGACUCACUUCUUACAGAUAAAGUAUGGCUGGAAGGACAGUGUUUGGCUUCCAAGAUCAGGAUAUAAAAAGGCAUUACAGUUUUUCCCUUCUUCCUUUCUCUCUCUUGGAUCACUUACUCUAGGGGAAGACAGCUGCCAAGUCAUGAAGACACCGAAGAAGUCCUACAGAGAAGUCCACACAGUGAGGAACUGAGGCAUCAUGCCAACAGCAAUGGACACCUCAAUGGAUCAGCUGCUGAUUUCCCCUUUAUCGGCUGCUUACCCUCUGGAAGUGAGAUGUUGGUUCCACCUCAGCAGUGACAGAGAGAGACGGCUCAGGGUGACCCCAAUACUGAAACCCAUACCAGGUGGAAGAAGUUAACUACAUGAUGACCAGACUGUAGCCAAAGCUGCUCCAUCUUACACAAUUCUGAGAACUGGCCUCAAGGAAAUGGGAAUAAACCAACCCUGGAACUGAAUAUUAACUGUACUUAAAACAAUCAAGAUGAUGCUGAUCAGAA
This is a non-coding RNA of Kogia breviceps (pygmy sperm whale), 1347 nucleotides long. The record is from RefSeq and is a predicted model, not a curated record. Lineage: Eukaryota; Metazoa; Chordata; Mammalia; Artiodactyla; Physeteridae.